UCAGAUGCAGGUGCUCAUGAAAUUCGAUUCUGUAACUGAGAAUCAAUGGAAAGGUUUGAGCAUGCUGCAAUGAAUUCUUGGGUGUUUUAUUCCAAGUCAGGACACUGAAGAAGUUGUCAAUGACCAGUGGCAAACUGUAGAAGAAGAAUGUGAAAAGAUAAAAAGAUAAGAGGCUACAGAAAGGCAUUGAAACAGACGGCAAAGCGAAGACAUCUGAUCAGUGGAAAUAAUAUAAUUUUGUAUAAACCAUCAUUGUAAAAUUAAUUCCAAGAUGAGUAAUAAAUGCCAGAGAAAUAACCAAUUUAAAGAUGAAUUUAUAUAGAUUUUUAAUGAAUGUUACAUAUUGUUUACACCAGCAUUAAUGGACAACAUUCCCAGAAAGAAGAAUGAGAGAAAUGAUAUUGAAAAACAACGUGAUCGAAAACUUGAUGUGUGCAAAGUGAAUCGAAACAACUCGAAAAUCAUGAAUGAAUGUGUCAGAACAAUGAUGAAGAAACAAGAAUCAGGAUCAUGUACAAGGUACUGUUGAUG
Molecule: long non-coding RNA, 531 nt
Organism: Limulus polyphemus (Atlantic horseshoe crab)
Lineage: Eukaryota; Metazoa; Arthropoda; Merostomata; Xiphosura; Limulidae
Exons: 3
Source: RefSeq, a predicted model, not a curated record